Molecule: long non-coding RNA, 403 nt
Filed under: Olea europaea (common olive)
Lineage: Eukaryota; Viridiplantae; Streptophyta; Magnoliopsida; Lamiales; Oleaceae
Description: long non-coding RNA (OEUR_LNC014163)
Source: RNAcentral
UUAUCUCAUCCCAAUCCAAUUACAAACCCUAAAAUUCAAAUUCAUUUCUCUCUUUCCACUCUCUCCAUUUAACUUGCACCUCCGGCGCCACCACCCACUUCCAUAGAUUGCCGCCUACUACCGAAGAUCGCCGUCACAGCGCGAUAAUUAGUUCUAUCGUGCGAAGCAGAUUCGACGCACACCUCUCCCUUCUCAGUUGCAGCUGCACUCACAAGUGCGAAGAAGCUGCACAUUGUCGCUGCUUGUGGUUUUGCAUAGAUAUGGGUGUGGCUUUGCACAGAUCGGAGGUGGUGGCUCUGCACAGAUCGACGAUGAAGUCGCUGUACGCGACUUCACUCGCAACGUCGCUGCAGUGUGCUCAGAUCGACGACAAUGGUUGGAGGACGCUCAGAUCGACUUCUCU